ACGGAAGUUGCCGAGUGACGUCAGACGCCGGCGAGGCGCGCUUUCGAGUCGCUUGUUCUUCCCCUGUGCAUCCGCUCUCCGCCUGUUAUGUUCAGAAAGUAUUAGGGUGAUGGUGGCCUCAUAGAAUGAACUUGGCAGUGUUCCUUCCUCUACAGUUUUUUGGAAGAGUUUCAGAAGGUAGCUCAUCACACACACACGCCACCUCUUCCCAGCAGAGAGAGUACAAGUGUUCUUCGAACCACGAACGAUAAAAGGAACUGCUUCCGACCCAGAGCAAGCUACCAUUUUGUCAUCUUCCAAAGAGCCAGAGACUAAAUCUGGAGAAGAGCUCGUGGGACAUGAUCUGGAAACAGUUCAAUUGAGCAGGUUCCGCCCAGCCUUGUGCUCCUCCCUGAUCUCCUGGUUCCUUUAACGGCAAGCUAAAGAACUCAGCGGGAUUCCAGAUGGCUUGUCAACAGAAGAACGAAGCCCAAGGGCAAGGACGACUGGAACUCAGCUAACACCAGAUGAUAAGAUCCUUGAGGGCAGGACCACAUCUACCCUGCUCCCCACUGGGUACCCAGCCCCACCACAGAGAAAAUGCCGAUCCAGAACCAGUCAGAAGAACUAGUGAUGGGAGGGAGAUGACCAAUCCCUGUCUAACACCACAAAAGGAGACUUAAUUUGGUACAAAGAUCUAGCCAAGUGGGGACACUGUGAUUCAGAUGACAGCAACAAUGGAUGGGAACUAGAUUCCUGCCCCUGUUGAGUGUGAAGCCAUCACAGGGACAAGCUUUCAGACCUAAUGUGAGGGAAGGAAAACUGUCCCUAACAUUGGUGACACGUAAAGGUUGCCUUUAUUUCCAGGUCAAAUUUGUCUCAAUAUCUGGGUGGCUGGACUUCACAGAUAGAAAGACACUUCUCAAGUCAGAGUUCAAGAUGCCACACAUGACUAAUUCAGCUGUCUGGAUUUUUCAAACUUUGGUCCAAAUGACUUGAACCAAUUUAAUAUGUCUUUGCUGCUUUCACUCAUUAUGCAAAGCAAUGAAAAGGCUGAGAUCCUAACAACAGGCACAGCCUAGUAAACAAUAGAGAAUUCUUUAUAUAAGGAGCUUCUAUCCCGACUUCUCUCCUCAUAAAAUGCACCCGUGAUUAAAGGCUACAUACACUUCCCAGGACAGCCAAUACUAGAAAUGUUUCCUUUAUGCUGAACAGAAAGCUGAAAUUUGCCGCCCAGUGGCUCCAGCCUGGCUUUGCACUGCAACACAAACAAAAAUAUAUUCCACCUUCUCCAUGGCCGUUUUUUAAGAUGUGAAUUCACCUCUCACGUCUCCCCUUUUGCCCAUGUCUUGCCUGAGUGCUUCAACCACUCCCUGGAUUGCUGUAGUUCUCAACUCCUUUCCAGCCUGAUCCUGAACAUCUCAAUGUGCUCAUUUGUCCCUCUUCCAUGGUUCUAACUUUUCAAAACAAGUAUUCACAUAAAUGGCUACAGAAAUUGAAAUUUUAAACCAUCCUUUUGUUGUAUGAGUUAAUACAGUGUACUGGACAAAUACAUUAAUCCUUACCACCUGAUUUAAGUAGUUGUUAGUUUAAAUUUAGAAUUAAAGCUCUCUUCCUCUGUCUCUAUCUAACUGUUGAAACUCAGCUGGCCCCUAGGUGGUGCUCAUUCUGACGGCGCCAUCCUAAAUUUCAGCCUGUCAUUUCAUGCCCAUGGCUGGGUCUUUCAGACCACAUCGUCAGCACUUAGAGAAGCUCUAUUUAGGAGAUAUUAAAUCACAGGUAGUAAAGCAAGGCAUGGACAGUGAUCUUUAUAUGCUUCCCUAUUUUCAUAUAUAAAUAUUCCCCUACUUUCAAAUUGGUAUGUCUAUUAGAGUCCGGAAGUCACUUAGAAAACAGAAUUCUAAACUACUUGAAAAUGUCUUUUAAAAAAGACCCAUCAUUAAACGCUUACAGAUGAUAACUCAAUCAGAAGCCAAGGCAUAUGAGGUUUUGUUCACUGGUUCUCUAAUAUUCGACAGGGAAACAACGCAGACAGCACCCUACAGUGAGGCAGGAGAAAUGGAGUGCACCACAGCCAAGGAGCGCCACGGGGAAAUGAGGGACAGCCUUGCCCCAGACUUCAUGUGUGUGAAGUUCAGAAGCAGAAAAGCUAUGAUCUAACAGCCAUGGUUCCAGAGAUGCUAAAUGUGACAAAGCAAUGCUUUUCCUUGGGAAACACACUCCUGACAACUACCCAAUGCUGAUAUACGGCAAGACCUACCCAUCCCUGUUGCUGGCACUGUUCCUGCCUGGCAGUGCCAAGGAACUGUGAAAGUGCAUGCAGGGUUUCCUCAUCUGAGCCUUUGUUCCCCAUUCUCUUAUUCUACUGAGCCCUGAGACCGACACACGGGCCAAUCACACUGUGUGACUGGGUUUCUCGUUUGGGAGCAGAUUUUAUCUAAUGUGUACGUUUAUCCUACACACAAUAAAAAAAAAAGGUGU
Molecule: long non-coding RNA, 2460 nt
Organism: Lagenorhynchus albirostris (white-beaked dolphin)
Lineage: Eukaryota; Metazoa; Chordata; Mammalia; Artiodactyla; Delphinidae
Exons: 6
Source: RefSeq, a predicted model, not a curated record